AUGGUUGGAUGAAAAAUUUACUUUCUUUAUUUUAAAAUCAAAAUUUGAUUUCUAGAUUAAAAAGUCUAGAUUUUAUUAUAGGACGAGAAGACCCUAUAGAACUUUACUCUUUGUUAAGUAUAUAUUUUAUUGUAAAUGAUUUUUACAUACAUUAGUAGGGAGUUUUGUUGGGGUGACAAAAAAAAUUUUAUAACUUUUUUUAUUUAUGUCAUUUAUGUAUGCUUUUUUGAUCCUUUUUUAUGGAUAAUAAGAUUAAGUUACCUUAGGGAUAACAGCGUUAUUAUUUUAGAGAGUUCUUAUCGAUAAAAUAGUUUGCGACCUCGAUGUUGGAUUAAAAUUAGUUUCAGGUGUAGAAGAUUGAU
RNAcentral lists this ribosomal RNA (362 nucleotides) under Conostethus venustus. RNAcentral describes it as "partial large subunit ribosomal RNA". Lineage: Eukaryota; Metazoa; Arthropoda; Insecta; Hemiptera; Miridae. The record is from RNAcentral.